This 525-nucleotide ribosomal RNA is filed under the name uncultured bacterium. RNAcentral describes it as "bacterial SSU rRNA". It matches the Rfam family "Bacterial small subunit ribosomal RNA", at positions 984 to 1509 of the family's 1533-position model. The record is from RNAcentral.
ACAUCCAGAGAACUUAGCAGAGAUGCUUUGGUGCCUUCGGGAACUCUGAGACAGGUGCUGCAUGGCUGUCGUCAGCUCGUGUUGUGAAAUGUUGGGUUAAGUCCCGNAACGAGCGCAACCCCUAUCCUUUGUUGCCAGCGAUUCGGUCGGGAACUCAAAGGAGACUGCCGGUGAUAAACCGGAGGAAGGUGGGGAUGACGUCAAGUCAUCAUGGCCCUUACGAGUAGGGCUACACACGUGCUACAAUGGCGCAUACAAAGAGAAGCGACCUCGCGAGAGCAAGCGGACCUCAUAAAGUGCGUCGUAGUCCGGAUUGGGGUCUGCAACUCGACUCCAUGAAGUCGGAAUCGCUAGUAAUCGUAGAUCAGAAUGCUACGGUGAAUACGUUCCCGGGCCUUGUACACACCGCCCGUCACACCAUGGGAGUGGGUUGCAAAAGAAGUAGAUAGCUUAACCUUCGGGAGGGCGUUUACCACUUUGUGAUUCAUGACUGGGGUGAAGUCGUAACAAGGUAGGCGUAGCGAG